RNAcentral lists this unclassified non-coding RNA (1220 nucleotides) under Hevea brasiliensis (rubber tree). Lineage: Eukaryota; Viridiplantae; Streptophyta; Magnoliopsida; Malpighiales; Euphorbiaceae. The record is from RNAcentral.
GCAAGCUUCAUACUCUCCAUUGAGCUUCCAACUUUUUCUCCGUCCUACAAAAUUUCAUCAGUGAAUUGCAGCAAUGGCGGAGAAAGGAGGAAAAGGGUUUUCUUUGCCGAAAAGUGGAAAGUCUUCUCUGAAAUCCCCUGCAUCCAAAGGGAAGGAUGAUAGCUCAGCAAAGUCCAAAAGAGGAAGGAAAGUUCAGUUUGAUUCUGAAGGAUCGCUUGAUACCAAUUCCACAAAAUCAAAUGGAAAAGCUGAUAUACCAUCUUUCAAAGGUGAUUUGGGCAAAGCCGGGAAAGGAGAGAAAGCUGGCAGUGCUGGUAAAAGUCAAAAAGCAAAAGCACCUGAUCCCUUGGAGCUGAGAGUUGAGCAAGAGCUUUCAACCAAAACAACAUGCAUGAUGGAUUGUGAAGCUGCUGAUAUUUUGCAAGGAAUCCAAGAGAACAUGGUGGUAUUGUCUGAUGAUCCAGCCAUAAAACUACCUGUUUCAUUUGACAGGGGAUUGGCAUAUGGUCAAAGGAUCAGGCUUUAUGAUAAUCCCCAGGCUGUUGAACAAAUACUUGGGCCUCUAAAACAGCAUGGCGUUUCUGAUGGGGAGCUUUGCAUGAUUGCCAACUUUCCCUUGGAAUCUGUUGAUGAAGUGUUUGCUUUUGUUCCCUCAUUUAAGAAUAGAAAGAGCAAGCUGAGAGUUCCCCUCGAGAAUGUCUUGGCUGAACUAACCAAACUUAGAAAGGCAGCAUAAAUGGCUCAAGAGGAGCAUUUUAUGGUACUCGUCCAGAGGGUUCUGCAUGUCUUACUGAAGGUCAUGCCCAACAGUUGAGCAGCCAGCAACUGUUGUCGUCUUUCUUCUUCUGUCUUCUGUCUUUCUUUUGUCUAGUUAUUAGCUAGGAUUUCAUUGCUUCAGUGUCAACCUGUUAGCUGGCUGAUUCCCAAAAGGAAGAUGCCCUCAAAUUAUCCUACCAAGAAACAAAAAAAAGGAAGCGUUCCUAUGUUCACAACCCAGCCAGAGGCGGAUCCAAAAUUUGAAGUUUGUCGGUUUCUAUUAUGAUCUCAAAUUAAUAUGUUCUAGUAGCUGAGUUCAAGUCAAAUAUUUAGUGAGUUUCGUAGUUCUUAGAUUUUGCAGAAAAAUGGAAACAAAAACUUGAAGUGUAGCCUUGUUCUUGUGCUUGUGCAAAAGCUUUCAGUCAGAUGAUUGAAAGAGUGUAGGCCCUUCAUUGUUACAAAAU